UACGGGAGGCAGCAGUGGGGAAUAUUGCACAAUGGGCGAAAGCCUGAUGCAGCUAUGCCGCGUGUAUGAAGAAGGCCUUAGGGUUGUAAAGUACUUUCAUCGGGGAGGAAAAAACAAAACUAAUAAUUUUAUUUCUUGACGUUACCCGAAAAAGAAGCACCGGCUAACUCCGUGCCAGCAGCCGCGGUAAUACGGAGGGUGCUAGCGUUAAUCAGAAUUACUGGGCGUAAAGAGCACGUAGGUGGUUUUUUUAAGUCAGAUGUGAAUCCCUGGGCUUAACCUGGAACUGCAUUUUGAAACUGAAAUACUAGAGUAUCGUAGAGGGAGGUAGAAUUCUAGGUGUAGCGGUGAAAUGCGUAGAUAUCUGGAGGAAUACCUGUGGCGAAAGCGGCCUCCUAAACGAAUACUGACACUGAGGUGCGAAAGCGUGGGGAGCAAACGAGGGAUUAGAUACCCGU
RNAcentral lists this ribosomal RNA (458 nucleotides) under uncultured bacterium. RNAcentral describes it as "bacterial SSU rRNA". It matches the Rfam family "Bacterial small subunit ribosomal RNA", at positions 340 to 789 of the family's 1533-position model. The record is from RNAcentral.